GGAGGUAGUGACAAUAAAUCACAAUGCGGAACUUCUGUUUUGCAAUUGGAUUGAGAACAACGCACAACACUUAUCGAUAAACAAUUGGAGGGCAAGUCUGGUGCCAGCAGCCGCGGUAAUUCCAGCUCCAAUAGCGUAUAUUAACGUUGUUGCAGCUAAAAAGCUCGUAGUUGAAGUGAAGUGUGAAUCUCUUGGAUUUUCGUUUGAAUUUCCUUUAGCUUCAUACUCUUUCCAAAUAGUUUGCAUGGGUAUUUACUUAUCUGUGUAUUGCAUUUGGUCAUUUACUGUGAGAAAAUUAGAGUGUUCAAAGCAUACGUUUGUUUGAAUACAUUAGCAUGGAAUAAUUCGAAAAGGCUUUCAUGUUCGAUUUGAUUGGUUUGUUCGUGAAGGCAAGAUUAAAAGGGACAGCUGGGGGUAUUCAUAUUCAAUAGUCAGAGGUGAAAUUCUCGGAUUUAUGGAAGAUGAACAAGUGCGAAAGCA
RNAcentral lists this ribosomal RNA (480 nucleotides) under Blastocystis sp. RNAcentral describes it as "SSU rRNA". It matches the Rfam family "Eukaryotic small subunit ribosomal RNA", at positions 460 to 953 of the family's 1831-position model. Lineage: Eukaryota; Bigyra; Opalinata; Blastocystidae. The record is from RNAcentral.